GAGUGGCCUUGCUGCCACGAUC
This 22-nucleotide small nuclear RNA is filed under the name Arabidopsis thaliana (thale cress). RNAcentral's name for it is "snRNA_03743". Lineage: Eukaryota; Viridiplantae; Streptophyta; Magnoliopsida; Brassicales; Brassicaceae. The record is from RNAcentral.